Molecule: long non-coding RNA, 474 nt
Organism: Gossypium arboreum
Lineage: Eukaryota; Viridiplantae; Streptophyta; Magnoliopsida; Malvales; Malvaceae
Exons: 2
Source: RefSeq, a predicted model, not a curated record
UAAAAGACAAAAUAGUUUACCAUUAAAAGAUUCGCUUAAGCUUCACUUUUAUCAACUCUUAUUCCGCGAUCCUUCCUAUUCUUGUUCUUUUCUUAGCUCGUCUCCGAUUUGUUUUAUGCCGUUGUCGCAGCAGAUUAGGUCAAACGUCGGGAGAGGAGAAAUGGUGCGUUUUAACGGGCGGUAAAGGCUUCGCCGCCGGCCGUCAUUUGGUUGAGGUGCUAAUCAAUUACCAAAUACCAAAUGUUCGUUGUUCGAAUCGCUGAUUUGAUUUAUAGCAUUGAUCUCGAAUCCUACGAGGAGAACCGAGUCCUCGGCGAAGGUUUAAGGCUUAUAGUAGCUUUGAAAGGAGUUGAGGUAGUUUUUCACAUGGCGUUUCAUCAUUCUGUUAAUCUUCAAGGUAAAGUAUAUAUAGUUUAUGAGAUUUAGAAUUUAUCCAAUUUUGUUGUUAUUAAAUAUUUUUGCAGCAAUCUAAAA